ACCUGGCAGUGCCUGGUACAGGGGCUUUGAUCUUUCUCCAGCGAAGCACAGCCAGGGCUUAUCAGGCCGGCCCAGGGUCGUUAGGAAGAUUACAAGAGGGAAGGGAGACCGUUUUCUGCUGAGUCUGCACCAUCCAUGGCAGGUUCCUGGCUUCGCUGGCUCUCCUUGGCUCUGUCUUUCCCGAGGAUGGCUGGGAGAGAGCGGGAUCAAAGUCUACCCUGUCAUGAGAGCUUGCAACUGACGGAACUUCCAAUGUCUUGACACAACUGAAGUUGAUUCCAUCCAACUCACCGCCCUCCAACUUGUCCGGCAAUGCCCACAACCACUCCUGAGGUUGUACACCAGGGCCCCCACUGAAGGGCCGGUCAAAAUUGUAGCUUCCAGCGCCAUCCACACCCACUGAGCACACUCUUUGGUAAUGGAGACAGAGGACCUACAUUUCUAACAAGUUCUGGUCACUUUGAUGUA
Molecule: long non-coding RNA, 468 nt
Filed under: Bos indicus x Bos taurus (hybrid cattle)
Lineage: Eukaryota; Metazoa; Chordata; Mammalia; Artiodactyla; Bovidae
Description: lncRNA (ENSBIXG00005021072.1)
Source: RNAcentral